AAUAUUCCAUUGAAGUACCAAGUUAGUUAUUCCAAUUAAACUACAUAUGGUAGCCCACACGCACUGUGCAACAUAGAUUAGUUUUAAUCACCCUUUUAACAAGCUAAAUUAGUCUCUAAUCUAGGACUUUAUACGGUCCAAGGCUCACCUCACAACACCAAUGUUCUAUAUUAUGCUAGCUAGGAAACUAAGCCUUAGAAAACAAGAAAACAGAGGUGACAAAAGUGGUGCCAGCAGUCGCGGUUAUACCACUACCUCAAACUAACUCUCACACAAUAAAGGACUAGCUACAGGCUUUAAGUUCAACUUUUUAUGUAAAAAGUAAAUUAUAACUAGACCCAAACCAGCCUUAUUAUACUACAACCCAACAAACCACAACUUCAAAACUCGGAUUAGAUACCCGACUAUUGUGUGGCCCAACAAAAAGAAUACUACAAGCGAAAGCUUAAACCUCAAACAAUGUGGCGGUGCUUAACUCCUCAUCAGGGGAUCCUGUGUCUUAAUUCGAUAAUCCACGAUAAACCCAAGCUUUUCUUGUGUUUUAGCUUGUGUAUGGCCGUUUAAGCUUGCUCAAAAAAGACCCAAAAGGAAGCAAUGGAGGUUACUCCCCACAAUUCAGGUGACAUACAGCUAAUGGAAAGCAGAUUCAUGGGAUACAAAUAAACACACUAUCAGCCCUAAGCCUAAAAACCUUAGCAAAGGAGGACUUGAAAGUAAGGCUUCAAUUCACAAUACUAGCCUGAACAAGAACUUAAGCGCGCACAAAUCGCCCGUCACUCCGGCAGUAAAGUCGGAUAAGUCGUAACAUAGUAGGGGUAAUGGAAAUUGCCCCUAU
This 835-nucleotide non-coding RNA is filed under the name Sinohyriopsis schlegelii. Lineage: Eukaryota; Metazoa; Mollusca; Bivalvia; Unionida; Unionidae. The record is from RNAcentral.